This 368-nucleotide ribosomal RNA is filed under the name uncultured Mariprofundus sp. RNAcentral describes it as "bacterial SSU rRNA". It matches the Rfam family "Bacterial small subunit ribosomal RNA", at positions 114 to 476 of the family's 1533-position model. The record is from RNAcentral. Lineage: Bacteria; Pseudomonadati; Pseudomonadota; Candidatius Mariprofundia; Mariprofundales; Mariprofundaceae.
CGCGUGGAUAUCUGCCCUUUAGUGGGGGACAACUUGGAGAAAUCCAAGCUAAUACCGCAUAAUACCUACGGGUGAAAGCGGGGGACCUUUCGGGGCCUCGCGCUGAAGGAUGAGUCCGCGUCUGAUUAGCUAGUUGGUAAGGUAAUGGCUUACCAAGGCGAUGAUCAGUAGCUGGUUUGAGAGGAUGAUCAGCCACACUGGAACUGAGACACGGUCCAGACUCCUACGGGAGGCAGCAGUGGGGAAUUUUGCACAAUGGGGGAAACCCUGAUGCAGCGACGCCGCGUGCGGGAAGAAGGCCUUAGGGUUGUAAACCGCUUUCAAUUGGGAAGAAGAGAUGAGUAUUAAUAAUGCUCUGAUUUGACGGU